UCCGGUCAUAUUACGUUGAAACACGGGUUCUUAUAGGAUCACCGAAGUUAAGCAAUGACGAUCCUGGCCAGUACCUCGAUUGUUGAUCGCUUGGGAAUACCAGGUGCUGAAAG
RNAcentral lists this ribosomal RNA (113 nucleotides) under Acanthosepion pharaonis. The record is from RNAcentral. Lineage: Eukaryota; Metazoa; Mollusca; Cephalopoda; Sepiida; Sepiidae.